RNAcentral lists this ribosomal RNA (995 nucleotides) under uncultured bacterium. RNAcentral's name for it is "bacterial SSU rRNA". It matches the Rfam family "Bacterial small subunit ribosomal RNA", at positions 355 to 1375 of the family's 1533-position model. The record is from RNAcentral.
UGGGGAAUAUUGCACAAUGGGGGAAACCCUGAUGCAGCGACGCCGCGUGGAGGAAGAAGGUCUUCGGAUUGUAAACUCCUGUUGUUGAGGAAGAUAAUGACGGUACUCAACAAGGAAGUGACGGCUAACUACGUGCCAGCAGCCGCGGUAAAACGUAGGUCACAAGCGUUGUCCGGAAUUACUGGGUGUAAAGGGAGCGCAGGCGGGAAGACAAGUUGGAAGUGAAAUCCAUGGGCUCAACCCAUGAACUGCUUUCAAAACUGUUUUUCUUGAGUAGUGCAGAGGUAGGCGGAAUUCCCGGUGUAGCGGUGGAAUGCGUAGAUAUCGGGAGGAACACCAGUGGCGAAGGCGGCCUACUGGGCACCAACUGACGCUGAGGCUCGAAAGUGUGGGUAGCAAACAGGAUUAGAUACCCUGGUAGUCCACACUGUAAACGAUGAUUACUAGGUGUUGGAGGAUUGACCCCUUCAGUGCCGCAGUUAACACAAUAAGUAAUCCACCUGGGGAGUACGACCGCAAGGUUGAAACUCAAAGGAAUUGACGGGGGCCCGCACAAGCAGUGGAGUAUGUGGUUUAAUUCGACGCAACGCGAAGAGCCUUACCAAGUCUUGACAUCCUGCGACGGACAUAGAAAUAUGUCUUUCCUUCGGGACGCAGAGACAGGUGGUGCAUGGUUGUCGUCAGCUCGUGUCGUGAGAUGUUGGGUUAAGUCCCGCAACGAGCGCAACCCUUAUGGUCAGUUACUACGCAAGAGGACUCUGGCCAGACUGCCGUUGACAAAACGGAGGAAGGUGGGGAUGACGUCAAAUCAUCAUGCCCUUUAUGACUUGGGCUACACACGUACUACAAUGGCGUUAAACAAAGAGAAGCAAGACCGCGAGGUGGAGCAAAACUCAGAAACAACGUCCCAGUUCGGACUGCAGGCUGCAACUCGCCUGCACGAAGUCGGAAUUGCUAGUAAUCGUGGAUCAGCAUGCCACGGUGAAUACGUUCCC